CCAGGUACACCCAGGUGUGCUCCAGGUACACCCAGGUGUGCCCAGGUGUGCCCAGGUGUCCCCAGGUGUGCCCAGGUGUCCCCAGGUGUGCCCAGGUGUUCCCAGCUGUCCCCAGGUGUGCCCAGGUGUGCCCCAGGUGUAUCUCAGGUACCCUCACCUGUCUCAUGAACUCCUUGGAGGUGCACACCAGCUCGUGGUACAGCACCCAGCGGGGCUGCAGCGAGAACAGGGCGCUGUUGGGGUGGAUGAACACCGGCUGUUGGUGUUUCACCGUGCGGUACCCGCCCCGCGCCAAACGCGCCGUGUGGUAAAAGAACCCGGCUGUGAUGGCCUGGGGGGACAGGAAACGGGGGGACACCGUCGCUGGGGGGACAGGAAACGGGGGGACACCGUCACUGGGGGGACAGGAAACGGGG
RNAcentral lists this long non-coding RNA (416 nucleotides) under Cyanistes caeruleus (blue tit). RNAcentral's name for it is "lncRNA (ENSCCEG00000004465.1)". The record is from RNAcentral. Lineage: Eukaryota; Metazoa; Chordata; Aves; Passeriformes; Paridae.